AUGAACAUCAACAAAACAACAUAUCAAAUGCAAUGCACACACCCAUGCAUGACUCAACACGACUCGGUAUACCCAUUUUGUGACCAACUACAGGAUCACCACUCCCAGAUUCAUCACCAUAGAAUCCGAGUUCCCCGCAAGGAACCAAGCCUCUCAACAAGCCCGGAGUCAACAACAUCAUUGGAACUCAGUCCGUUCAUCACUAGGCAUCGGCCUUUCAUGAAUGCAUGCACACCAAGCAUGCAUCAUAAUCAACAUAGCAACAACAGCAUCAUAUAUUCAUGUUAUCAUCAUCAUUAACACAUUCUAUCACAAAAGCAUAUCACAUCAUGCCACAUAAUCAAACACAGUAUUAUCACACUCUACUAAUAUCUAUACCACUCAAAGCAACGGGAAAUGAUCCCUCGUAUACCAUGCAUCAGCUAAGUUACCUCGCUCAGCCUAAACAACCAAAAACUGCACAACAACAGCCCAGGAAAGACCACAAGUCUGCCCAUACGCGUAUUGCCUAUGCCCAUACGCGUAUUACCCACGCCUGACCAAAUCCAUACGCGUAUUGCCCAUGUCCAUACGCGUAUGCUACGCGUAUCACAUUCCCAUACGCGUACCAACAGAGACCAAAACACGUUCAAAACAUCAUCUUCCUCAUCCAUACGCGUAUUGCCUAGUGCCAUACGCGUACCAGCCAUCUCAUACGCGUAUUGCCUAGUGCCAUACGCGUAUGACCAGAAACCAGAUUUCCAGAUCUGCAAU
This 753-nucleotide long non-coding RNA is filed under the name Lathyrus oleraceus (garden pea). RNAcentral's name for it is "Pisum sativum (pea) long non-coding RNA (PSAT_LNC032358)". Lineage: Eukaryota; Viridiplantae; Streptophyta; Magnoliopsida; Fabales; Fabaceae. The record is from RNAcentral.